CCUACGGGAGGCAGCAGUGGGGAAUAUUGGACAAUGGGGGGAACCCUGAUCCAGCCAUGCCGCGUGUGUGAAGAAGGCCCUCGGGUUGUAAAGCACUUUCAGUGAGGAAGAACGCCUGGUGGUUAAUACCCAUCAGGAAAGACAUCACUCACAGAAGAAGCACCGGCUAACUCCGUGCCAGCAGCCGCGGUAAUACGGAGGGUGCGAGCGUUAAUCGGAAUUACUGGGCGUAAAGCGCGCGUAGGUGGCUUGAUAAGCCGGUUGUGAAAGCCCCGGGCUCAACCUGGGAACGGCAUCCGGAACUGUCAAGCUAGAGUGCAAGAGAGGAAGGUAGAAUUCCCGGUGUAGCGGUGAAAUGCGUAGAGAUCGGGAGGAAUACCAGUGGCGAAGGCGGCCUUCUGGACUGACACUGACACUGAGGUGCGAAAGCGUGGGUAGCAAACAGGAUUAGAUACCCUUGUAGUC
This 465-nucleotide ribosomal RNA is filed under the name Vreelandella stevensii. RNAcentral describes it as "partial 16S ribosomal RNA". It matches the Rfam family "Bacterial small subunit ribosomal RNA", at positions 338 to 795 of the family's 1533-position model. Lineage: Bacteria; Pseudomonadati; Pseudomonadota; Gammaproteobacteria; Oceanospirillales; Halomonadaceae. The record is from RNAcentral.